AGUGAACGCUGGCGGUAGGCCUAACACAUGCAAGUCGAACGGCAGCACAGUAAGAGCUUGCUCUUACGGGUGGCGAGUGGCGGACGGGUGAGGAAUACAUCGGAAUCUACUUUUUCGUGGGGGAUAACGUAGGGAAACUUACGCUAAUACCGCAUACGACCUACGGGUGAAAGCAGGGGAUCUUCGGACCUUGCGCGAUUGAAUGAGCCGAUGUCGGGUUAGCUAGUUGGCGGGGUAAAGGCCCACCAAGGCGACGAUCCGUAGCUGGUCUGAGAGGAUGAUCAGCCACACUGGAACUGAGACACGGUCCAGACUCCUACGGGAGGCAGCAGUGGGGAAUAUUGGACAAAGGGCGCAAGCCUGAUCCAGCCAUACCGCGUGGGUGAAGAAGGCCUUCGGGUUGUAAAGCCCUUUUGUUGGGAAAGAAAAGCAGCAGGUUAAUACCCCGCUGUUCUGACGGUACCCAAAGAAUAAGCACCGGCUAACCUCGUG
This 492-nucleotide ribosomal RNA is filed under the name uncultured bacterium. Its description in RNAcentral is "partial 16S ribosomal RNA". It matches the Rfam family "Bacterial small subunit ribosomal RNA", at positions 29 to 507 of the family's 1533-position model. The record is from RNAcentral.